This 1304-nucleotide long non-coding RNA is filed under the name Felis catus (domestic cat). RNAcentral describes it as "lncRNA (ENSFCAG00000043504.2)". The record is from RNAcentral. Lineage: Eukaryota; Metazoa; Chordata; Mammalia; Carnivora; Felidae.
CAUGAAGCUCUUUCCUUAGAGACUCGUUCUCCCUCUUGGGAACCUUGCUACAGAACGGAGAACGCGCACCUCUUGAAGGAUAAAAUGCAUGCAUGUCUCUGUGCUCUGAGUACUGUUCAUACAUCAGAGACAUCACACUCCCUAAAUCCGGUCCCACAAGUGUGUGCGUGUGAGUGUGGCAUUUACCAACAAAUGAACAGAAGGCAACAAGAGCUCGUCUCCUAGAAAUAACAUUCCCCAUCCCUUCCCAGGCAGGCUGCUCAGAACCUUUCCAGGGGCUAACACUGGAGCGCCUUCCCCACGGGGACAGAGCCUUUACACGAACAACCCUCUCAGGGCGAAGUCAGCUUCAGCUUUGUGUUUUAAGUCCACUCGGCGCCAUAUGGCAGUUUCCAAUUCCUUUAGCAACUCAAGUCUGGCUAGGCUGCCCGCGAUGAUCCAUUCUUAAAGGAAGACCCCUUCGGGGAGCAGCAAUGCCCCCUUCACUUACCUAGCUCCCACAGACCCCGCUCAGCAGGCGGCACGGGCUCGGGCACCACAAAGGGUUGUGGGAUUCCCCGCUCCCUCCGGGGCUCCUCUCCCUGCGACGGUCCCCUUCGCCAAUGAUCUGUCGCUGGAAAUCCCCCUCCCCUCCACGGAGAGGAGGGUCUCCCCGGCUGGCUGGAGCUCCUGGCGUUUUUCCCCCUCUCCUUACAUCCCUGACUCUGUUCACGGUCUCUGGCAGGAAAGCUCAACGGAGAGGCGGCGGGAGGAAGCUAAGGAUGGAAAUCUGGUUAAGGUAAAUGUGGGAGCUGCCAAACGCAAUCUAUAUAAAGAGAAGAAAAGAAUUUGAUGCUGGCCCUGAAGGGGGAUGGAGGUAGGACAUACACCUUUUGUUUUUCCAACAGGUACAUUGAUGCUGAUCCCCACCCCCCACCCCCCUCCCAACUCACUAGUUGUCUGCAUGAUAUUUUCCUGAGAUUUGACCUGACAAGGCUGGGUACAUUUGGGAUGAGGCAUGUUGCCAUGGACUAGGAUAAAGGCUUUCAGACUUACAUACAGAAGGUACCUGUGUGAACCAUGAUCCACCCAAAAGGACUGAAUAUUGUGAACAUGUCGCCAGCAUGGUGGCUCAGAAAGCUUCUGGAACUCUUAGCAUAAUCUGGGGUUUGGAUAAAUAGGAAAUGGAAUAAUCUCCAAUAACAGAGCAAGUGCAGCCACAUGUGAAAAGAGCUCUCUUUGCAAAUACAAGGGCAUUAUUCUCAGUCCCAUUAGAAGCCAAAAGUGGAUAUAAUGAUGUAACAUGUCCCUCAUGGCCAGGCAAG